UACGGAGGAUCCGAGCGUUAUCCGGAAUCAUUGGGUUUAAAGGGUCCGUAGGCGGGCCAUUAAGUCAGGGGUGAAAGUCUGCGGCUCAACCGUAGAAUUGCCCUUGAUACUGGUGGUCUUGAGUUAUGGUGAAGUGGCCGGAAUAUGUAGUGUAGCGGUGAAAUGCAUAGAUAUUACAUAGAACACCGAUUGCGAAGGCA
This 200-nucleotide ribosomal RNA is filed under the name uncultured bacterium. Its description in RNAcentral is "partial 16S ribosomal RNA". It matches the Rfam family "Bacterial small subunit ribosomal RNA", at positions 524 to 723 of the family's 1533-position model. The record is from RNAcentral.